CUGUGUUGGAUGUAGGCGUGGUGGAUACUUCGUCACAAGCAAUGAAAAUGAGAACCGCACUGAAGAUUGAAACGAGGAUCAGAAGGAUUACCAGGCCAAGUUCUUCUCAUGAGGACAAGCUCAGACACAUCACCCCAUUCAAGAUGCUGGUCAUGUAUUGUCUGCUGUCAUCCAAUUGGUCUAGGCCAAAGGCAAGAAAUGGAGAAAUAUCAGCCUCCUUUUGUGCAUUGAACUCUAAAAAAGCAUGGCAGGUAGAAUGCAGAGAAAGGUUUGUGUGGAUGCCAGAGUUUACGAAGCAUGUGUCAGAGAACUACCGGGAGUUACAAAACAUGGCUUGUAUAGGAAAUACUAAUUGUUUACAAAGUGCUUCUGUCAUCAGUCACUUCAAAUGUGAGUAGAGGAAAUAUGAAAUGACUCCUUGGAAACAGGCAAAUCAAAUACCAGGUAGCAUGCCGCUCUUUUCUUCUAGCACUAAGCCAUGUUAUUUCACAACACUAAAAAUGUCUUAUGUAAUUUCGUGAAAGGAGCUACGGCUGAAGCAUUCAGUGCCCUGCAUUCCAUUGCUUCAGCCCAGCAUAACUUGAGCUGUGUUUGAAGUGGACAGUGGAUGCCUACCUUGCCUCACUCCAGCUGCCUCAGGGCUUCCUACAAACCUGCAGGCCUCAGCUCCAUGCCGGUUUAGUGCGAUGACAUUAGCAAUCCUUGGGCAGCUGCACAAUGAAGAGAAUAAAUCAGAAGAUAAGUGCUCCUCUCUCCUAGCCUUGACUAAGCAAGGGUGCGACACAAGAUCUACCCUCAUCUGAGAGACCCGGGCAAGUUGAACUGCUGCUACUGACAGUGACCUUUGUUGUCACAUUUCUUUCCAACUGCUUUAUCUCAUGCUUCCUACCUCUUCAACUCCUACUUCCUGGUAUUUCUUCUCAGAAAGGACAACUCCCAUUUCAGUUCUUUUCUCAAUCUUUACUUUCAGAACAACUCAACCUAAGACAAUAACAGUAAGUCCCCAACUCAGGAACAUUUGAGGUGUGAGCUUUCACAGAUACGAACGGACCUUGCAGUAUGAACAUUCCUGGGUGGGAACAAAUCCCCCAAGUAGCUCAGGUGUCUGCCGGACACUGUCACAGCUGUGCUGCUGUAUGUUUCCUCUACAGGGUGAUAGUGUACAGUGCUGCAGGGCUCAGUCAGAGCCCAGGAUGUCCUGAAGCAAGAGGAAAAGCAGUGGUGAUGUGGAGCCGAUGCUAGGAAGUGCAAAGCCAUAACCAUGGAAACAAAACUGAAAGUACUAUACUACACUACCACCAUUUUAGGGUAACUGUAAAAGUAAAAAUAGUCUAUUAGUAUUUGUGAGUUUGGUUUGCUUAUGUUUUACAUUGUAUAUUCUUGCUAAAGAAGUAGAAGACGUUGUCAGCCUUAGGAAUGUGUCUGACUUGUGAACCUUCUCUGGAACAGAAAUUAUUUGGAUGUUUGGGACUUACUG
Molecule: long non-coding RNA, 1477 nt
Filed under: Chinchilla lanigera (long-tailed chinchilla)
Lineage: Eukaryota; Metazoa; Chordata; Mammalia; Rodentia; Chinchillidae
Description: lncRNA (ENSCLAG00000024782.1)
Source: RNAcentral